CCCAGCCCCUCCGUCUUCCAUGCCGAGGGACCUGGGGACAUUCCUCUGUUAAGCCACCUCUCAAGAAUGUGCCAUGCCCCCUUGGUGCCCUGAGGACCCGAGGCCAGCCAGCUCUCCAUUCCUCAGGGGCCCAUACCUGUCUCCUGCUGUGUCACUGUUAACCAAGUGACAGGAUGGUCCUUUCUGUGCCCAAGCUCUCCUGGUUGGCUCAGAGGCCUGCCUGUCUCCCCCCAGGAAGUGCCCAGCAAACCUCGGGGAAAAAAAAGCAGCCCCCAAAUACAGAGCACGGUUAGUAGGUGGCUUCUUGUCUUCUAGGAGACAAGCCUUAUAUGCAUCUUUUUAUUCCAAUACUUAAAAAUACUGUUGUGCCUUGAUACGCAUGUGGGGUCAGCCCCAAGACCCUCUUCAGAUGCCAAAGUCUGCGAUGCCCAGGUCCCUUGCAGAAAGCCUUGUCGUGUCAAGGAAGCCCCUGUGCCCUUCCCCAGGGGCUAGACCAUCCCCGAUGACUCACGGUACCUGGGACGCAGAGAGGCCCUGUGAACAGCUGGGAGACUGCAGCGUUUAGGGAAUGGCGACAAGAAAACAGUCCGUGUGCAGUAGAGAUGCAAUUUUUUUCUCAAAACAGCUUCAAUCUGCAGUUGAUGGAGUCCACUGGGGCGGAACCUCCACCCGAGGGCGGAUUCACACAGAACAAGAGGCGACAGGAAAUAAAACAAAGGCGACUAUCAGCAGGGCAUGGUGGUGGGUCCAUCUCCUUCCUGUUCCCCUUUUUGUCUGAGGGGCUUUUCUCAAGUGUGGACAGUACUAAGAUCUUGUGUGUUUGGUUUGUUUUUAAUCAGAAAAGCACCAAUCGACGUUGUUCUGGGAAAGGUUGGAAGAUGGUGGGCAGGGGGUCUGCUAGUCAGAAGGCUCCUGAGGACCGUGAUCUGAGAGCCCUGCGGGGAGGAAAGGGCACGGGGUCUCUUGUCCACUUCCCAGGUCAACACUCCUCAGCCCUGAGCCUCAGACGGGCCACACAGGAGAAGCGUGACCGCUGACAUUCUGCUGGGGUUUGAAUAUGGCCCCCACACUCCACAUGUUGGAGACUUACUUCCCAAACAGGCUCGCCAACGAAUUUAACAGUCACUGAAGGGGAGCCUCUGGGAGCUCACUAGAGUUAGAUGAGGUCACAGAGGCAGGGUCCCCACCAAGGCUUGGAUGGCUUUAGAGCAGAGGAGGACAGACCUGAGUGGCACACUCGCUGGGCCUCACCAGGACCUGCGUCCCCCAUGCGACCACACAGCAGCAGGCCCCCCAGACGCCUGGCAAGUGUGGGAGCCAUGCUCUUGGGAUUCCCAGCUCCAGAACUGAAAGAAAGAAAUUUCUUUUCUUUAUAAAUGACCUGACCUCAGACUAUUGGAUAUAGCAACAGAAAACAGACUAAGACACAUUCCAAGAAGCCUGCUGAGAGCAGAGAUUUGUAAGGUGUGCUUCCCGACCAGCUGAGGGCAGGACCCAGGAGACCCUGAGAAGUGCAUGUGCCCAGGCCCCACCCCAGCCCCCAGCCACAAGGCCUAGGGGAGGUCUCAGGGCUCCUCAGGUCAGCAAAGUCUCUGGGGGACCUGAUGGCCCACCUCCUGCAUCAGGGACCAGCACAAGUCACCAGGCUCUGAGUGGAACAGAAGACUGGUGCUGUAGCCCUCAGGCUUGAGCCCCAUCUUUACCUCAGCCAGAGUUCCUCUCUCUGAUUCCUGAUUUUUACCCCCCAUUUACAAAAGAGGAACCCUUUCUGGGGAGUUGGGAGGACUGAAUGAAGGGUUGGCACCUGGUAGGUGUCCAGUGGUCCCCAAUAGUUAACAGCGUAAGUCACGAUGGCCUGAGACUUCCAGAGAAGGUGUCCAACAAUAAUAUCACCCAGCAUUCCUGCUGCUUAUUAUGUCCCGGCACUGGGCUGCUGCAGACCCAUCUCCCAGGUGAGGCGGGGCAAGGUCCUGAGCCAUGUGGACUCGGAUGGGGACCACCUGGGCUCCCGGACAGCCAACGCUGCUGUUCACUAGCUGGGGAAUUUGGGUUCAUAAAUUAACCUCUGUGUCUCAGCCUCUUCAAAAUAGAAAUAAUAGUUCUUGGCAUUAAAUGGGUCAUUGUGUAAAGUUCUAGAACAGUAACUGAUAAGGCUGGGCCUGUGGCUAGCAUGUGAGGCCAG
This 2182-nucleotide long non-coding RNA is filed under the name Marmota monax (woodchuck). Lineage: Eukaryota; Metazoa; Chordata; Mammalia; Rodentia; Sciuridae. The record is from RNAcentral.